AUAUUGGUCAAUGGCCGGAAGGCUGAACCAGCCAUGCCGCGUGAAGGUCAGUUCCCUCUGGGCGUUAUACUUCUUUUGUGCGGGAGCAAUAAGGUCCAGGUGUGGGCCGACGAGAGUACCGUACGAAUAAGCAUCGGCUAACUCCGUGCUAGCAGCCGCGGUAAUACGGGGGAUGCAAGCGUUAUCCGGAUUUAUUGGGUUUAAAGGGUGCGUAGGCUGUGAGGUAAGUCAGCGGUGAAAUGCCCCCGCUCAACGGGGUGAAGUGCCAUUGAUACUGCCUUGCUGGAAUGCGGAUGCCGUGGGAGGAAUGUGUGGUGUAGCGGUGAAAUGCUUAGAUAUCACGAAGAACUCCGAUUGCGAAGGCAGCUCACUGGACUGUUGACUGACACUGAGGCUCGAAAGUGUGGGUAUCAAAC
RNAcentral lists this ribosomal RNA (416 nucleotides) under uncultured bacterium. RNAcentral describes it as "bacterial SSU rRNA". It matches the Rfam family "Bacterial small subunit ribosomal RNA", at positions 361 to 773 of the family's 1533-position model. The record is from RNAcentral.